UGGCAAGUCGCGACAACGGACACCACUCCACUCUCCAUAACAAACUCCACGUGGCCCUGAACGGCUCCCUGACGCCACUACUCUCCGUAACAAACUCUGCGUGGCCCCGAACGGCCCACUACCAGGCAGUUACAGACGUCACUGUCAAUCAGUUACGCUCUCCGUCUAUAAAAAGGGACCCUCAGAUACAUUCUUCUCUAAGCUCGA
This 207-nucleotide long non-coding RNA is filed under the name Elaeis guineensis (African oil palm). Its description in RNAcentral is "long non-coding RNA (EGUI_LNC005535)". The record is from RNAcentral. Lineage: Eukaryota; Viridiplantae; Streptophyta; Magnoliopsida; Arecales; Arecaceae.